Molecule: ribosomal RNA, 931 nt
Filed under: Priestia aryabhattai
Lineage: Bacteria; Bacillati; Bacillota; Bacilli; Caryophanales; Bacillaceae
Description: bacterial SSU rRNA
Rfam family: Bacterial small subunit ribosomal RNA
Source: RNAcentral
CCUCGUUCAGCGAAUCCGUUCCGUCCCGGCGGACGGGUGAGUCCACGGGGCAACGCGAGAUGGGACCUCUCGGGAAACCGAAGCUCCGGAAGGACCCCCCCCCGGGAGACGACCGAAAGACGGUUUCGGCAACUCCACAGAGGGCCCGCGGUGCAGCAGUGGUGAGGUAACGGCCACCAAGGCAACGAUGCAUAGCCGACCUGAGAGGGUGAUCGGCCACACGGGACGAGACACGGCCCAGACUCCUACGGGAGGCAGCAGUAGGGAAUCUUCCGCAAUGGACGAAAGUCUGACGGAGCAACGCCGCGUGAGUGAUGAAGGCUUCGGGUCGUAAAACUCUGUUGUUAGGGAAGAACAAGUACAAGAGUAACGCUUGUACCUUGACGGUACCUAACCAGAAAGCCACGGCUAACUACGUGCCAGCAGCCGCGGUAAUACGUAGGUGGCAAGCGUUAUCCGGAAUUAUUGGGCGUAAAGCGCGCGCAGGCGGUUUCUUAAGUCUGAUGUGAAAGCCCACGGCUCAACCGUGGAGGGUCAUUGGAAACUGGGGAACUUGAGUGCAGAAGAGAAAAGCGGAAUUCCACGUGUAGCGGUGAAAUGCGUAGAGAUGUGGAGGAACACCAGUGGCGAAGCGGCUUUUUUGGUCUGUAACUGACGCUGAGGCGCGAAAGCGUGAGCAAACAGGAUUAGAUACCCUGGUAGUCCACGCCGUAAACGAUGAGUGCUAAGUGUUAGAGGGUUUCCGCCCUUUAGUGCUGCAGCUAACGCAUUAAGCACUCCGCCUGGGGAGUACGUCGCAAGACUGAAACUCAAGGAAUUGACGGGGGCCGCACAGCGGUGGAGCAUGUGGUUAAUUCGAAGCAACGCGAGACUUCCUUGACAUUCUCUGACACUAAGCCCCGAGAGGAUGACCCUUUGGUCGACGGAGGUG